Corapipo altera (White-ruffed manakin) is the source of this 894-nucleotide long non-coding RNA. RefSeq lists it as uncharacterized. The transcript has 2 exons. NCBI's taxonomy places the organism in Eukaryota, Metazoa, Chordata, Aves, Passeriformes, Pipridae. The record is from RefSeq and is a predicted model, not a curated record.
CGGGAGCGGCCCCCGGGGCGGUGCGGGGCCCUCGACGCGGGGGCGCUGCUCGGUCGGGUCGUAGUGCUGAGAGGAAGGGAGGCCCCGGCCCUUGACAGCAUCAGGGAUCUUGGGCAGCUCUGCAGCCUGCGAGAGGGGAAGCAACGUGACAGGCGAAAGACCCCGGUCACUGAAAGUGACAGAGGAAGAACAAGAGGAAGACAAAAUAAGAUGAUGAAUUUCCACUGAAAAGGUUUAAGGCAGUAUCUCUGAGUACAGAAAUCUGAAAAACUUCCAUGGCAGCUACCAGAACGCUGAUCAAAAGUUCAAAAUCUCCCAGCACAGUUAUGGUCUGGCAUUUCCUAUGAAGAAACAGCAGAUAAAAGAUUUUAAAAAGCCCCCUUUGGGGACGACAGAAUGAUAGUAGGGUGUUUACACAACUGAGAACUGAAGAUUAAAAAUAAAGGAAGUGUGAUAGAGCAUUAUGACACUAGUGGGUAAUUUUCUGUAGCAGAGUUCCAGUAAGAUGAGUUUGGAAGAGACUCAUUCAUAUAUUUUCUAAAACUGUUACAAAUUUCCUGUCAUAUGUGAUGACAUUUAUCAUAUGUAAGGAUACUGUCACAUUUGAACCAUCUAACUGUGGUGACAGUACAGUACAGCUGCUACUGUUACACCAUUUAAUAUCACAUAAUGAUAGACAUAGAAACCUUUGCAUUUCAGCAGUUGCGCAAAACAAUCCCAAAAAGGUCAAAAACUUUUUAAAGUUUAAAAUGGUUACCAGAUCACUGAUACGUUGUGUUAAGGAAGUUGCUUACACGGAAGUCAAGGUUCAAAGUACUGUAUCUGAAGAGUGACGGGGUGUGGUAUUUAGUUUUGUUUGACAUAGGGAACUGUUUGAUGUCACAUAAGGAACAU